Molecule: long non-coding RNA, 818 nt
Filed under: Homo sapiens (human)
Lineage: Eukaryota; Metazoa; Chordata; Mammalia; Primates; Hominidae
Description: HSALNT0297406
Source: RNAcentral
UGCACUGGCGGGCCCUCCCCUCGGGCGUUGCCUCCCACCCACGCCCGGCGGCACCGCACCCCGAGGCGCUUCACGUCACGGAGCUGCUAGGAGACGGGCGGGGCUCCGGUUCCGGGUAGAGGCCUGGGACACGGGGAACUACGGAAUCUCACUCUGUCACCCAGGCUGGAGUGCAGUGGCACAAUCUCAGCUCACUGCAACCUCGACCUCCCAGGUACAAGCAAUUCUCCUGCCUCAGCCUCCCAAGUAGCUGGGAUUACAGGAUCCAGCCAUAUUUGGAGUCUGCUCUACACUGGAACAUCUUUUUUUUUUUUUUUUUAGAUGGAGUUUUGCUCUUGUCGCCCCGGCUGGAGUGCAGUGGUGCGACCUCAGCGAUCUCAGCGAUCUCAGCGAUCUCAGCUCACUACAACCUCUGCCUCUUGGAUUCAAGCAGUUCUCCUGCCUCAACCACCUGAGUAGCUGGGAUUACAGGCGCCUGCCACCACGCCUGGCUAAUUUUUGUAUUUUUAGUAGAGAUGGGGUUUCACCAGGUUGGUCAGUCUGGUCUCGAACUCCUGACCUCAGGUGAUCCACCCACCUCGGCCUCCCAAAGUGCUGGGAUUACAGGCGUGAGCCACCAUGCCCAGCCUACACUUGGGCUUCUUAGGCACAAGAUCCAGUAAGCCCUCCCUCCUCCUCCCCACCCCUUUUUUCUUUACACUAGUGUUUUCUGUAAUCCUGCAACAGAAAGAGUCCUAACUGAUAUAUUUGUGACCAUUUCUAAAAUCUCCAAAAUGUAAAAUUAUACAAUUAAGAAUUAAAAUAAUUUUUUAAAACCA